RNAcentral lists this ribosomal RNA (234 nucleotides) under uncultured bacterium. RNAcentral's name for it is "partial 16S ribosomal RNA". It matches the Rfam family "Bacterial small subunit ribosomal RNA", at positions 1272 to 1500 of the family's 1533-position model. The record is from RNAcentral.
CCCCUAAAAACGACCGUCCCACGUUCGGAUUGCAGGCUGCAACCCGCCUGUAUGAAGUUGGAAUCGCUAGUAAUCGCGGAUCAGCAUGCCGCGGUGAAUACGUUCCCGGGCCUUGUACACACCGCCCGUCACACCAUGAGAGUCGGGAACACCCGAAGUCCGUAGUCUAACUUUCACGAGAGGACGCGGCCGAAGGUGGGUUCGAUAAUUGGGGUGAAGUCGUAACAAGGUACC